Long non-coding RNA from Rhinopithecus roxellana (golden snub-nosed monkey), 773 nucleotides. RefSeq lists it as uncharacterized. Lineage: Eukaryota; Metazoa; Chordata; Mammalia; Primates; Cercopithecidae. The record is from RefSeq and is a predicted model, not a curated record. The transcript is spliced from 3 exons.
GGCGCCAGGGGAUCUCCUGCUGCAGCCUUAGCAGCGGCUGCAUCCGGGGUCCAGGAGGUGGCCGCGUGGGAGAGGCGGCCGCGGGCGGCGUCUUUCAACAUGAGUUUUGGUUGGCACAAACUACAUUCAAAUCGUAGCCCAUGUCCAGCAGAGAGACCAGCCUGUCCUGAACACCCUGAAGGAAGUGCCUGGGGCAUCCUAAUGAGUGUGAGGUGACAGACUCCCUCAGUCUACAGGGCAGAGAACAGAGAGCCGCCGAGAAGGGUCUGCGACUUUAAAUGCUAAAGCUCUGAGCAGGAAUAUUCUCGAGCGCUGCUUCUAGUCUCAUGAAGACCAGAGCUAACCACUGGGAAUGGACUGUGAACAUAAUGGAGAUGGAGAGUGCAGAUGACACACAUGGCCUCAGUCUAUGGGAGCAUCUCAGAGGAAUUAGUCUGCAAAUUCUAGUGCAUCUAGGCAGAGCACAGGAAGGAAGAGAGGUGCAGACUCACGUAUGGCCCUGGGGCACCUGCCAUCCCCUUGAGCCUGUACAGCCCUUACCUGCCCAGCCCCAGCUUGAGUUCUGGGCCUUCUCGCCAGCACAUCACUGGGACCUGGUCAACUUCAGGUAAGUUUAUUUCAUGGCUCCCUCCCCCCUCUGCAGCCUAUCCUGUUAUUCUCUGUUUCGGCCAAUUAUUUCUAACUAGAUGCUGAAGCCAAUUAAAGGCAGUUCAUGCCAUAUGUUCCUUUCCAGCCCCAUGUCACUUGAAAUGUUCUAUUAUGUCCAAGACUUC